RNAcentral lists this ribosomal RNA (492 nucleotides) under uncultured bacterium. Its description in RNAcentral is "partial 16S ribosomal RNA". It matches the Rfam family "Bacterial small subunit ribosomal RNA", at positions 28 to 507 of the family's 1533-position model. The record is from RNAcentral.
GAUGAACGCUAGCGACAGGCUUAACACAUGCAAGUCGAGGGGAAACGACAUCGAAAGCUUGCUUUUGAUGGGCGUCGACCGGCGCACGGGUGAGUAACGCGUAACCAACCUGCCCACCACUUGGGGAUAACCUUGCGAAAGUAAGACUAAUACCCAAUGACGUCUCUAGAAGACAUCUGAAAGAGAUGAAAGAUUUAUCGGUGAAGGAUGGGGAUGCGUAUGAUUAGCUUGUUGGCGGGGUAACGGCCCAGCAAGGCGACGAUCAGCAGGCGGGCUGAGCGGUCGGUCCCCCACAUUGGAACUGGGUCACCGUCCAUACUCCUACGGGAGGCAGCAGUGUGGUAUGUUGGUCAGCGGUCGAGAGUCUUAGCCAGCCAAGUAGCGUGCAGGAUGGCGGUCCUAUGUGUUGUAAGCUGCUUUUAUGAGUGAAUAAAUUUAUUCCCGGGAGACUUAUUGCCUGUACCUUAUGAAUAAGCACCGGCUAAUUCCGUG